This 261-nucleotide ribosomal RNA is filed under the name uncultured archaeon. RNAcentral describes it as "partial 16S ribosomal RNA". It matches the Rfam family "Archaeal small subunit ribosomal RNA", at positions 748 to 1008 of the family's 1478-position model. The record is from RNAcentral.
CAGCCGUAAACUAUGCGCGUUAGGUGUAUCGGUGACCACGAGUCACCGAGGUGCCGAAGGGAAACCGUGAAACGCACCACCUGGGAAGUACGGUCGCAAGGCUGAAACUUAAAGGAAUUGGCGGGGGAGCACCACAACAGGUGGAGCCUGCGGUUUAAUUGGAUUCAACGCCGGACAUCUCACCGGAUAAGACAGCGGAAUGAUUGCCGGGCUGAAGACUCUGCAUGACUAGCUGAGAGGAGGUGCAUGGCGUCAGUGACU